GCUUGAAUAUGUUCGAAAUAUAAUACUCUCUUUUACAAUUUUCUUAUAUAGCCUAGCCAUUUUAAUAGGAUGGACAACCCAACCUCGUUAUACUUAAUAAAUAUAUUUGCUUCUUCUUGGACUACUAAAGUGUUCCUGCAAUGGGAGUAUUCUCUGGCUAGAGCACAGAACAGCGCAGUUUGCAUGGACAGAAGUGCAUGCCUGAGCUUGUAUUUUGGGUUAAGCUGCGUUGCUUUGACAUUGUGGAAAAUAAAAUAAUAGAAACAAAAUGUAUUAUCCUUUUUACCCGUUAUUAUCAAUCUAAAAGAAUCUACUGCGAAAUAUAGGAGACUGAGAUUUUACUGGGACGUCACGUCACAUGCCCCAGUUAAAACGCCCAUGAGUUGAACGUCAUUACCGUCACGAUUCAGCGAAAAGAAGACAAAAAUGCCGAAGACUUUAUCUGUGUGGGAGAACUUUAAAUUAAGUGAGGACAAGACAAAGGCAGAGUGUCAAAUAUGCAAUUUGAAACUGGCCUACCACAACAGCACAUCAAGCAUGAGAAAUCACCUGAGUUCUGUAAGUAGAACGAGCUGCUUUUAGCCGCCAUUUACACGUCAUAAAAAUGUGCACUUAAUUUUCAUGGAAAAUAACGUGACUUGCGAAUAGGCUACGGCAGUUAAUGACAAACAGUAAAAACGUAGCCUACUGUAGUAUAAGAGGACUGUCUCCUGCAAUAUUCAGCCACAAGAUUGCAGCUGCU
Long non-coding RNA from Sander lucioperca (pikeperch), 742 nucleotides. RefSeq lists it as uncharacterized. NCBI's taxonomy places the organism in Eukaryota, Metazoa, Chordata, Actinopteri, Perciformes, Percidae. The transcript is spliced from 3 exons. The record is from RefSeq and is a predicted model, not a curated record.